RNAcentral lists this ribosomal RNA (404 nucleotides) under Actinomycetes bacterium. Its description in RNAcentral is "Actinobacteria bacterium partial 16S ribosomal RNA". It matches the Rfam family "Bacterial small subunit ribosomal RNA", at positions 355 to 776 of the family's 1533-position model. Lineage: Bacteria; Bacillati; Actinomycetota; Actinomycetes. The record is from RNAcentral.
UGGGGAAUAUUGGACAAUGGGCGCAAGCCUGAUCCAGCCAUGCCGCGUGAGUGAUGAAGGCCCUAGGGUUGUAAAGCUCUUUCACCGGUGAAGAUAAUGACGGUAACCGGAGAAGAAGCCCCGGCUAACUUCGUGCCAGCGGCCGCGGUAAUACGAAGGGGGCUAGCGUUGUUCGGAUUUACUGGGCGUAAAGCGCACGUAGGCGGACUAUUAAGUCAGGGGUGAAAUCCCGGGGCUCAACCCCGGAACUGCCUUUGAUACUGGUAGUCUUGAGUACGAGAGAGGGGAGUGGAAGUCCGAGUGUAGAGGUGAAAUUCGUAGAUAUUAGGGGGAACACCAGUGGCGAAGGCGGCUCACUGGCUCGAUACUGACGCUGAGGUGCGAAAGCGUGGGGAGCAAACAGG